AUGCUUUAUACAUGCAAGUCGAACGAAGGCCCUAGCUUGCUAGGUGUCCUUAGUGGCGCACGGGUGAGUAACACGUGGGAACAUACCUCAUAGUACGGAAUAACUGCGGGAAACUGUAGCUAAUACCGUAUAUUCCAGUAAUGGGAAAGAUUUAUCGCUAUGAGAUUGGCCCGCGCAAGAUUAGUUUGUUGGUAAGGUAAUGGCUUACCAAGGCUACGAUCUUUAGCUGGUUUGAGAGGAUGAUCAGCCACACUGGGACUGAGACACGGCCCAGACUCCUACGGGAGGCAGCAGUAGGGAAUAUUGGACAAUGGGGGCAACCCUGAUCCAGCAAUGCAGCGUGAGUGACGAAGGCCUUAGGGUUGUAAAACUCUUUCAUCGGUGAGGAUAAUGACAGUAACCGAAGAAGAAGGACCGGCUAAUUCCGUGCCAGCAGCCGCGGUAAUACGGAAGGUCCUAGCGUUGUUCGGAAUUACUGGGCGUAAAGCGCAUGUAGGCGGAACAGAAAGUUAGAAGUGAAAUCCCUGGGCUCAACCUAGGAAUUGCUUUUAAAACUUCUGUUCUGGAAUUAAGGAGAGGAAAAUGGAAUAUCCAGUGUAGAGGUGAAAUUCGUAGAUAUUGGAUGGAACACCAGUGGCGAAGGCGAUUUUCUGGACUUAUAUUGACGCUGAGAUGCGAAGGCAUGGGUAGCAAACGGGAUUAGAUACCCCGGUAGUCCAUGCAGUAAACGAUGGGUGCUAGUCGUCGGACUUAUGUUCGGUGUCGUAGCUAACGCGUUAAGCACCCCGCCUGGG
This 794-nucleotide ribosomal RNA is filed under the name uncultured Alphaproteobacteria bacterium. Its description in RNAcentral is "bacterial SSU rRNA". It matches the Rfam family "Bacterial small subunit ribosomal RNA", at positions 44 to 877 of the family's 1533-position model. Lineage: Bacteria; Pseudomonadati; Pseudomonadota; Alphaproteobacteria. The record is from RNAcentral.